GAUGAAGGCGUUCUGGAGCAGGACCAGAAAGACCACGACCAAGCAGCCUUAAGAUCUUAGGCAACGUCUCCCUCAGUUCAAAGGUCCCUCUCUAUCUCCCUACACAUCCACCAACCACUGGAACACAUCUCCAAAGUUCUGCCGGGCCAGCUCAGCUUCCCCUCAGAAGAAGUUCCACCAGAUGAAGGAGCCUUUUGAGAGGCAGCUGGCAUCGUGAUUGGACUGUACUUUGGUCUGUUCCAAUCCAGCUUCAGCUCCAGAGACGGCAGGCGGGACGAGUCAACGGAGGCCGGGUGGACGAAGACCAAAGAACUACAGAUUCUUCACAACCUGCUCAAACUCUUGGUACAGGACCUCACCACACGGGUCAAGAAGGUUUCCGUCUCCUUUCUACUCUGAAGCUCACCUUCUCCUGCUCAAACUGCUGACAAAUGUUUCUGCUGCUCUAAAGUCUGGUCUCCAGAACUUCCUAAAAACUCUCAAAGUCUCUUCUGCUGCAGGUUGCUUUGUAGAACUGUUCCAGAAAACCUCACUAAACCACAUGGAGGG
This is a long non-coding RNA of Amphiprion ocellaris (clown anemonefish), 549 nucleotides long. Lineage: Eukaryota; Metazoa; Chordata; Actinopteri; Pomacentridae. The record is from Ensembl.